Molecule: long non-coding RNA, 409 nt
Organism: Onychomys torridus (southern grasshopper mouse)
Lineage: Eukaryota; Metazoa; Chordata; Mammalia; Rodentia; Cricetidae
Exons: 3
Source: RefSeq, a predicted model, not a curated record
CCUCAGAUGUCUUCUGUAAAUCCUUUCUCAGGACCAGUCAUUUCAGGUCAGGCUUGGCAACCAAAGAAUACUCACUCAUUUGAAUAUGGAAAAAUGGAUAACAUGAAGAAUGAUGGACUGUGGAGAUCUCUUUGGUGCAUUCUCUUCAUCAACACUAGUGCAUGAUAUGGAGUGUACUGAAUCAGCAGACCAAGAGAUCUGAUUGGGUCUGGAUCACCUGGAAGACAGCUGGUAUUUUCCUCACUGAAUCAUGGUGUCAUGGAAGGGGAUUUAUUUUAUACUCUUCCUGUUUUCAGGAAGCUUUUUUGGAAGUAUUUUUAUGCUGGGUCCCAUUAUUCCUUUGAUGUUUAUAAGCCUGUCAUGGUAUCACUGGAUCAGCAGCCGACUUGUGGCUACAUGGCUCAUGCUU